UACGGGGGGGGCAAGCGUUGUUCGGAAUUACUGGGCGUAAAGGGCUCGUAGGCGGCCAACUAAGUCAGACGUGAAAUCCCUCGGCUUAACCGGGGAACUGCGUCUGAUACUGGAUGGCUUGAAUCCGGGAGAGGGAUGCGAAAUUCCAGGUGUAGCGGUGAAAUGCGUAGAUAUCUGGAGGAACACCGGUGGCGAAAGCGGUUCUCUGGGCAUGAUCUGACGCUGAGGAGCGAAAGUGUGGGGAGCGAACAGG
RNAcentral lists this ribosomal RNA (253 nucleotides) under uncultured bacterium. Its description in RNAcentral is "partial 16S ribosomal RNA". It matches the Rfam family "Bacterial small subunit ribosomal RNA", at positions 524 to 776 of the family's 1533-position model. The record is from RNAcentral.